AGCGAACGCUGGCGGCAGGCUUAACACAUGCAAGUCGAGCGGGCACUUUCGGGUGUCCGCGGCGGACGGGUGCGUAACGCGUGGGAACGUGCCCUCUGGUUCGGAAUCACUCAGGGAAACUUGAGCUAAUACCGGAUACGCCCUUUUGGGGAAAGGCUUGCUGCCGGAGGAUCGGCCCGCGUCGGAUUAGCUUGUUGGUGAGGUAACGGCUCACCAAGGCGCCGAUCAUUAGCUGGUCUGAGAGGAUGGUCCGCCACACUGGGACUGAGACACGGCCCAGACUCCUACGGGAGGCAGCAGUGGGGAAUAGUGGACAAUGGGCGCAAGCCUGAUCCAGCCAUGCCGCGUGAGUGAUGAAGGCCUUAGGGUUGUAAAGCUCUUUUAUCCGGGACGAUAAUGACGGUACCGGAGGAAUAAGCCCCGGCUAACUUCGUG
RNAcentral lists this ribosomal RNA (435 nucleotides) under uncultured bacterium. RNAcentral describes it as "partial 16S ribosomal RNA". It matches the Rfam family "Bacterial small subunit ribosomal RNA", at positions 29 to 507 of the family's 1533-position model. The record is from RNAcentral.